This 498-nucleotide ribosomal RNA is filed under the name uncultured bacterium. Its description in RNAcentral is "partial 16S ribosomal RNA". It matches the Rfam family "Bacterial small subunit ribosomal RNA", at positions 28 to 507 of the family's 1533-position model. The record is from RNAcentral.
GACGAACGCUGGCGGCGUGCCUAAUACAUGCAAGUCGAGCGGACGAAUCGAAAGCUUGCUUUUGAUUCGUUAGCGGCGGACGGGUGAGUAACACGUGGGCAACCUGCCCUGUAGACAGGGAUAACACCGAGAAAUCGGUGCUAAUACCGGAUAACACGAAAUGUCGCAUGACGUUUCGUUGAAAGACGGCGCAAGCUGUCGCUACAGGAUGGGCCCGCGGCGCAUUAGCUAGUUGGUGAGGUAACGGCUCACCAAGGCGACGAUGCGUAGCCGACCUGAGAGGGUGAUCGGCCACACUGGGACUGAGACACGGCCCAGACUCCUACGGGAGGCAGCAGUAGGGAAUCUUCCGCAAUGGACGAAAGUCUGACGGAGCAACGCCGCGUGAGCGAAGAAGGCCUUCGGGUCGUAAAGCUCUGUUGUUAGGGAAGAACAAGUAACGCAGUAACUGGCGUUACCGUGACGGUACCUAACGAGAAAGCCACGGCUAACUACGUG